CCUACGGGAGGCUGCAGUGGGGAAUAUUGCACAAUGGGGGAAACCCUGAUGCAGCGACGCCGCGUGAGUGAAGAAGGAUUUCGGUAUGUAAAGCUCUAUUAGCAGGGAAGAAAAAGACGGUACGUGAUUAAGAAGCCGCGGCUAAGUACGGGCCAGCAGCCGCGGCAAUACGUAGGGGGCAGGCGUUAUCCGGAUUUACUGGGUGUAAAGGGGGCGUAGACGGCGGUACAAGUCUGGAGUGAAAUGCCGGGGCUUAACCCCGGAACUGCUUUUGAAACUGUGUAGCUUGAGUGCAGGAGAGGUAAGUGGAAUUCCUAGUGUAGCGGUGAAAUGCGUAGAUAUUAGGAGGAACACCAGUGGCGAAGGCGGCUUACUGGACUGUAACUGACGUUGAGGCUCGAAAGCGUGGGGAGCAAACAGGAUUAGAUACCCUAGUAGUC
RNAcentral lists this ribosomal RNA (440 nucleotides) under uncultured bacterium. RNAcentral describes it as "partial 16S ribosomal RNA". It matches the Rfam family "Bacterial small subunit ribosomal RNA", at positions 338 to 795 of the family's 1533-position model. The record is from RNAcentral.